This 76-nucleotide transfer RNA is filed under the name Felis catus (domestic cat). It matches the Rfam family "tRNA". From Rfam's summary of the family: Transfer RNA (tRNA) molecules are approximately 80 nucleotides in length. Their secondary structure includes four short double-helical elements and three loops (D, anti-codon, and T loops). Lineage: Eukaryota; Metazoa; Chordata; Mammalia; Carnivora; Felidae. RNAcentral also lists the same sequence under 5 other names. The record is from Rfam by way of RNAcentral.
GCUCAGUCAGUUAAACGUCUGACUUUGGUUCAGGUCAUGAUCUCACAGUCUGUGGGUUCAAGUCCCACAUUGGGCU